Molecule: ribosomal RNA, 484 nt
Filed under: uncultured bacterium
Lineage: Bacteria
Description: partial 16S ribosomal RNA
Rfam family: Bacterial small subunit ribosomal RNA
Source: RNAcentral
AUUGAACGCUGGCGGCAGGCCUAACACAUGCAAGUCGAGCGGAUGAAGGGAGCUUGCUCCUGUAUUCAGCGGCGGACGGGUGAGUAAUGCCUAGGAAUCUGCCUGGUAGUGGGGGAUAACGUCCGGAAACGGGCGCUAAUACCGCAUACGUCCUGAGUGAGAAAGUGGGGGUUCUUCGGACCUCACGCUAUCAGCUGAGCCUAGGUCGGAUUAGCUAGUUGGUGGGGUAAAGGCCUACCAAGGCGACGAUCCGUAACUGGUCUGAGAGGAUGAUCAGUCACACUGGAACUGAGACACGGUCCAGACUCCUACGGGAGGCAGCAGUGGGGAAUAUUGGACAAUGGGCGAAAGCCUGAUCCAGCCAUGCCGCGUGUGUGAAGAAGGUCUUCGGAUUGUAAAGCACUUUAAGUUGGGAGGAAGGGAAGUAAGUUAAUACCUUGCUGUUUUGACGUUACCAACAGAAUAAGCACCGGCUAACUUCGUG